AUGAACGCUGGCGGCGUGCCUAAUACAUGCAAGUCGCGCGAACAGACGAGGAGCUUGCUCCUCUGACGUUAGCGGCGGACGGGUGAGUAACACGUGGAUAACCUACCUAUAAGACUGGGAUAACUUCGGGAAACCGGAGCUAAUACCGGAUAAUAUAUUGAACCGCAUGGUUCAAUAGUGAAAGACGGUUUUGCUGUCACUUAUAGAUGGAUCCGCGCCGCAUUAGCUAGUUGGUAAGGUAACGGCUUACCAAGGCAACGAUGCGUAGCCGACCUGAGAGGGUGAUCGGCCACACUGGAACUGAGACACGGUCCAGACUCCUACGGGAGGCAGCAGUAGGGAAUCUUCCGCAAUGGGCGAAAGCCUGACGGAGCAACGCCGCGUGAGUGAUGAAGGUCUUCGGAUCGUAAAACUCUGUUAUUAGGGAAGAACAAAUGUGUAAGUAACUAUGCACGUCUUGACGGUACCUAAUGAGAAAGCCACGGCUAACUACGUG
This 496-nucleotide ribosomal RNA is filed under the name uncultured bacterium. RNAcentral's name for it is "partial 16S ribosomal RNA". It matches the Rfam family "Bacterial small subunit ribosomal RNA", at positions 29 to 507 of the family's 1533-position model. The record is from RNAcentral.